AGGCUAUUUAAUUUGGAUGUGUACAUGUAAUUUGGGUGAAAGAGUAAGUGAUAAGUUCUUAUAUGAUAUCCUUAUUUAAGCUGGACGGGUAGUUGACUCGCACAUGGGUAUACUUUUUAUGCAACUAAGUCCGUCUAAAAGUCUAAGAUUCGGAUUUUUCUUACUUUUUAGUUUCUUUGUGCUCUUAAUACUCAAGACUCUUUGGCUUAGUUAUAUGUCAAAGACAUAUGUUGAUAGUAGACACGAAGUGGAUGACGCUUUGCAGUCUGAAUUAAGUAUAAUGCUUCAGUUCAUUCAUUCACUGACUCGACACUUCUAAUGGGGUUUUCUAAUUACAGGAAGUUAAAAAUCUUGACACUUCUAAAACUUUGUCUAGCAUUGGUCCAACUUAUGCUAUCUUGAAGUUUAUGGAAUGUGAGUGGUUACUUGUAUUGCAGCUCUCUUUUUUAAAUGUUUUACACCUCCGUGUGAUCUUUUGUUUUUAUUUUAUGUAAGUUACUUAGAUGUAUUGUUGAUGUUUGGGGCAUACAACAUGACAUUUAGCCCGUUUGACCCAUUCACUUAGGCUUUAGUAAAGACAUUGGCUACUGAGGAGUUAUUUUAGCAUUGAUGCUCCAAGUCACGAACAUGCGCAACCACUUCCUG
This is a long non-coding RNA of Helianthus annuus (common sunflower), 645 nucleotides long. RefSeq lists it as uncharacterized. The transcript has 2 exons. NCBI's taxonomy places the organism in Eukaryota, Viridiplantae, Streptophyta, Magnoliopsida, Asterales, Asteraceae. The record is from RefSeq and is a predicted model, not a curated record.